AUUGAACGCUGGCGGCAGGCCUAACACAUGCAAGUCGAGCGGAUGAAGGGAGCUUGCUCCUGGAUUCAGCGGCGGACGGGCGCGUAAUGCCUAGGAAUCUGCCUGGUCGUGGGGGAUAACGUCCGGAAACGGGCGCUAAUACCGCACACGUUCUGAGGGAGAAAGUGGGGGUUCUUUGGAACUCACGCUAUCAGAUGAGCCUAGGUCGGAUUAGCUAGUUGGUGGGGUAAAGGCCUACCAAGGCAACGAUCCGUAACUGGUCUGAGAGGAUGAUCAGUCACACUGGAACUGAGACACGGUCCAGACUCCUACGGGAGGCAGCAGUGGGGAAUAUUGGACAAUGGGCGAAAGCCUUAUCCAGCAAGGCCGCGUGUGUGAUGAAGGUCUUCGGAUUUUAAAGCACUUUAAGUUGGGAGGAAGGGCAGUAAGUUAAUACCUUGCUGUUUUGACGUUACCAACAGAAUAAGCACCGGCUAACUUCGUG
This 484-nucleotide ribosomal RNA is filed under the name uncultured bacterium. RNAcentral describes it as "partial 16S ribosomal RNA". It matches the Rfam family "Bacterial small subunit ribosomal RNA", at positions 30 to 507 of the family's 1533-position model. The record is from RNAcentral.